GUUAAGGGCUCGAUCGAAACGGUCAACUCUAAUCGGAAAUAAGAAAAUUGCAUUUUGAAGCCCUAAACGGACUCAGAUGGCCAAAAAGGCCCAUAUGUCAUACAAUAGCGAUGAGUUUGACUUGUAGGGCCGUUACGCUUCCGAAAAGGUAUCACAAUAGUCAAUCGGACACCAAACGCCAAAUCUGCAGCAUAGUGAAUAAUAAGGGUAAAUUGCAUUGACCGCAACUAUUGGCACUGAGACAUUACUGGAAUACAGUGAUUUUUUAACCGUAGACGUAUUUCACCAUUCUGGUCAUAUCUUACUUAACGACUUUUUUGCGUUUGAAGGUUCUACGUAUAGUUUUUUUUUCCCAGAUGAGUUGUUGUCUAGAUCUGCAAAUAUAAGGCACUUUAGCCGACGAAAUUAUAUUUUUCGUCGGCUAAACUUUUAAAAAUUUCAUCGGCUAAAGUUCACAGACUAUAGCCGACGAAAAAAAUUAUUCAGACGACGAAAUUUCGUCGUCUAAAGUUGACCAAAACCGACAAAAAUUUAAAUUAGCCAACGAAGGAAAAUUUCGUCGGGUAAAGUCCACGUUAGGCGACGAAAAAAUAAUUCGUCGGCCUGGUUUUUUUAUUUUCGUCGGCUAAAGUCUUUCUUCUAGUAGUGUAGCUCAGCUACCGUUCAACCAAAACGACUCUGAAGAAAUGAUUAUUUAUAGAGUUCUUGCUCAGGCCGGAGCCGGGGACUCCUCCGACGCCACCAGUACCCCUCGUCAUAUGAAAGAUGAUGACAAGUGAACUCUGACACGGCCAUGGAAGAGGGAGUGAGCAUGAAGGACGAGAUAGCACAUAAAGGAGUCUAGCGGCAGCCAUGGGGGAAGUACGCGGCAGAGAUAAGGGGGAUUCAACACAAAAGGGGUGCGAGUUUGGUUGGGAACCUUGAUACGGCGGAGGCAGCCCUAGCUUAAGACCAAGCUGCAUUUGCAAUGGAGUUAACGAUAUAGUUAACAAAAAGUUAACUGGGGUUAGACUAAAAAUAAAAAAUUUAAGUAAUAGUGUUGGGUGAAUUCUUAAGACCCUUGGAUUAGAUAAAAAACCUAGAUUUUAUGAACUUAGACUAACUUCACACACUCCUCACUUUAGAGGAGCCGAAUCCU
RNAcentral lists this long non-coding RNA (1138 nucleotides) under Fragaria vesca (wild strawberry). Its description in RNAcentral is "long non-coding RNA (FVES_LNC005169)". The record is from RNAcentral. Lineage: Eukaryota; Viridiplantae; Streptophyta; Magnoliopsida; Rosales; Rosaceae.